RNAcentral lists this ribosomal RNA (460 nucleotides) under uncultured bacterium. RNAcentral describes it as "bacterial SSU rRNA". It matches the Rfam family "Bacterial small subunit ribosomal RNA", at positions 340 to 786 of the family's 1533-position model. The record is from RNAcentral.
UACGGGAGGCAGCAGUGGGGAAUAUUGCACAAUGGGCGAAAGCCUGAUGCAGCUAUGCCGCGUGUAUGAAGAAGGCCUUAGGGUUGUAAAGUACUUUCAUCGGGGAGGAAAAAACAAAACUAAUAAUUUUAUUUCUUGACGUUACCCGAAAAAGAAGCACCGGCUAACUCCGUGCCAGCAGCCGCGGUAAUACGGGAGGGUGCUAGCGUUAAUCAGAAUUACUGGGCGUAAAGAGCACGUAGGUGGUUUUUUUAAAGUCAGAUGUGAAAUCCCUGGGCUUUAACCUAGGAACUGCAUUUUGAAACUGAAAUACUAGAGUAUCGUAGAGGGAGGUAGAAUUCUAGGUGUAGCGGUGAAAUGCGUAGAUAUCUGGAGGAAUACCUGUGGCGAAAGCGGCCUCCUAAACGAAUACUGACACUGAGGGUGCGAAAGCGUGGGGAGCAAACAGGGAUUAGAUACC